GCACCUUCCGAUACGGCUACCUUGUUACGACUUCACCCCAGUCAUGAAUCCCACCGUGGUAAUCGCCCCCCUUGCGGUUAGGCUAACUACUUCUGGUGAAACCCACUCCCAUGGUGUGACGGGCGGUGUGUACAAGACCCGGGAACGUAUUCACCGCGACAUGCUGAUCCGCGAUUACUAGCGAUUCCGACUUCAUGCAGUCGAGUUGCAGACUGCAAUCCGGACUACGAUCGGGUUUAUGAGAUUAGCUCCCCCUCGCGGGUUGGCAACCCUCUGUCCCGACCAUUGUAUGACGUGUGAAGCCCUACCCAUAAGGGCCAUGAGGACUUGACGUCAUCCCCACCUUCCUCCGGUUUGUCACCGGCAGUCUCAUUAGAGUGCCCUUUCGUAGCAACUAAUGACAAGGGUUGCGCUCGUUGCGGGACUUAACCCAACAUCUCACGACACGAGCUGACGACAGCCAUGCAGCACCUGUGUUCCGGUUCUCUUGCGAGCACUCCCAAAUCUCUUCGGGAUUCCAGACAUGUCAAGGGUAGGUAAGGUUUUUCGCGUUGCAUCGAAUUAAUCCACAUCAUCCACCGCUUGUGCGGGUCCCCGUCAAUUCCUUUGAGUUUUAAUCUUGCGACCGUACUCCCCAGCGGUCAACUUCACGCGUUAGCUGCGCUACUAAGG
This 672-nucleotide ribosomal RNA is filed under the name uncultured bacterium. Its description in RNAcentral is "partial 16S ribosomal RNA". The record is from RNAcentral.